AAUGGAGGCAUAUUAUUUCAUAUAUUCCUCCAGUGUCUUAUUGAUCACUAAUUAGGUUUUGUUAUUACAAACAGUGCUACAAUGAGCACUUAUGAAUAGAUAUCUUUGCACACUUGUGGAAGUCUGAUAAAUUCCAAGGAGAGGACUUGACAGGUACAUAAGGUAUGUGUGCUUCUAUUUUUCAUAUUUCUGUAGAAAAAUUAUCAUUAAAGAAAAUACAACAAAUUACUCCUAUUAAUGAAGUAUUACAGCACUAAAACAGGCAUUAUAAAAGUAGAGUAUUAAGUAUAAUCUUGCCAUCAUAGAUGAAAAAAAUUUUUUAAUUAUUUUGUUUUAAUUCAUACUCUCCAGAUUAUUAAAGUGGAUAAACAUUUUGACAUUUUAUUUGGCCAUUUGUAUUUAUUUUUUGUAAGCAUCAUGUUUUUUAUUAGGUUAUAAUCACUUUUGAAAAUUGACCUGUAGUAACCAGUUAUUUAGAACAUUGACCUCUUAUCUGUCAUGUUUUUAAAAUAUUUAUCCCAACUUGUUAACUUUUGACUUUAAUAGUACUUUUGAUUGUAUCGAUUUUUAAUUUGUUGGUGGCCAAACUGAAGUCUUUUAUGUGUUCUAAGCUUUGUUUUGUUUAGAAAAUUUUUCUAAGAUUAUAAACAAAUUAACCAAUUUUUUCUUCUAGUAAUUUAAUUUUUUACAAUAACAUUAAAUAUUUAAUACAAUUGGAAUUUGUUUUAAUGAAAAGAAUCUGCCAGGAAUUCCCCUAUAUUUGUUUCCAAAUAAUUAGCCAGUUGCCUCAACAAUAUUUAUGAAAUAAUUCAUCUUUUCUUCACUGAAAGUGUAUGUGGGUAUGUUUGUAGACAACUCUGAACUUUGAAAGAGCAUUUCAUAUGUGCCAUUUCAUUUCUAAACCUUUUGGUCCCAGGUGUGGAAAUAAACCUGAGUGUAAAGGACCUUUGCCAAUUCUUACAGGUGUUUUGGAGGUGUUCAGGGCUUAAUAGGCAUCACAGUACUCAUUUUUUAGUCCCACAUGAGGCCUACAAGUCAGAGGGGAAAAGCUAGAAAUGGGAGUAAUUGGCUUAGGGGAAAUGCAGCUGUGGAACUGCAAUGGGAAUCAUAGGAUACUCAGGGAAUUGUCAAAGUUUAGGAAAAUAAAUGAGGCCCAAUCAGUAUAAAAGGGGGUCCAGUCUGGUUGCAGUGGUACUCUGUUUUUUUGGCAAUAUCCUUACUCUGAUUGUGGGCAGCAUCUAUGUUCCAGGUGGUCUGUCUGGGUGGAGUAGUAUACCCUAGCCAAUGGCUUUGGAACGGGAGUCAGGAUCAAGCCUUUUGACUAGGCAGGGUGUCAGGGAUGUGAUUCAGAAUAGUAUUUAAGUCCUAAUGGGGAAAGAGAAUUUGCAUUAGGAAACAAAGCAGCAACUUAGUUAUGCAGAUUGCACAGAUAUAACAACGAUGUGAGAUGGGGCUUGAAUUGAUCUAAGGGCAUCUUAGCACUCCUCCCAGAAAACUGUGGAAAACCCAUCCUUGGUCUAGUUCCACAGCACUGACAUGAGGACGUACUAAACUGGUAACCCAGGGAGGUCGAAAAAUGAAGCCUGUGUUUAUGUACUGUUCUGUUGUGUACUCCUUCCCAUACAAUACUGUAGUGUACAUUAUCUCACACUGAGAGGAGUGAGGCACCCCUGCUCAAGUCCAUCAUUUGUUCAUUCAUCAAAUAUUCAUGCUAGGCAUGUACUAAGAACUGGAGAUAGAAGAGUGAAUAAAUGAAACAGAAAAAUGUUUAUGUUCUCAUGUUAUGGUCUUGAGGCAGUGCAAUAACUAAAACACAGGGUCUAUUAGAUAAUGAUAAAUGCUUAGGAAAAAGCUAAAGCUAGAUAGGGAAGUGAGUGGUGUCUCUGUGUGUUUGUGUUUUAGUGUGAUCUCCACUGAGAAGGUGACAUUUGAACAUGAAUGUGAAGGAAGUGAGGGAAUAAGCAUGUGAUUAUCUGGGGGAAGUAUUUUGGUGGAAGCAAAAAGGCUCAGAAGCAGGAGUGUGUGUGGCUAGUUUAAGGAACAGCAAGGAAGCUAACGUGGCCAGGAUGAAGUAAAAAAAAGAUGGAUGUGGGCAGUGACUCUAGCUAUUUCUAUCAAGUUUUGGCUUUGAUAUAGAUAUUUGAAGUGAACGUAUAAUAUGUUGUAUUUAGUUGGUUGGCAUCCCUUGCAUAGAGAGGAACCAUCCACAUCUACUCUGUGUGGUUCUACUGGGGGUAUCAAUGAACAGAAUUCUACUCUUCUGAUCACAGGAAGAGGCACUUGGCCCUACAUUGUGUGUUUUAAGACAAUAAUGAUUAUUUGAAUAAUGUGAGAGUGAUUCCAACCAAGGCAAUCAUUACAUUAAAGUUAAACAGGCAGCUGGCCCUGCCCUGAGCCUCCUGUUACAAUGCUGGAAUGUGAGGCUCUUCUCCACUGCUUUGUAAAGGAUGCCUAUAGUGCUUUAAGAGGCAAUGGAGCUAACACAGAAAGAAAAACAGUAUUGAGAGGUGGGGGAGGCAGUGGCAUGACCCCUUAUGACCUAUGCUGAAUAUCAUGUUCUCUGUCCCUCUGCUCUCCCAUCACACAAGUCAAUACAUUCCUCUCCAUGUUACUGAAACUAAUUUGACUGCAGCCAAGAGUCCUGUUUAAAGUAGCAUUUUAAGAUGGUGUGUGGUUCCUUGUGUAAAUCCAGAGCCAUCAGACUACCAUGAAGGAUAAAUGGAAUGUCCUAUGUAAAUUUCAAUCCUAUUAUGGAGGAGGCAGGGUAAAGCUUUAGAGUGCCUGUGGCUGCAGGUUAAGCAAGCCAAACGGUUACCCUCCCUUAAUGUAGCAGCUGGAUUUCAGGAGGUCAAGAAUCACCCUUCCACUCCGGAUAUUUCCUCAUCCAGUAGUUCUUCAUUAUCUUUGGUAAUGGUCUGGUUAUGUUGUGAAAAUUAGCAGAGUUCAGUGUGCUAAUGGUCACCCUUCUGAGGAAAAGUAACUUCUCUUAGUCUAGGAGGUAGCUCAACACGAAGUUAACAAGAUUUUACUAUUUAAUAUAACUUAGGAAGGUAUUAUAUACUUUACACACAUACCUUAGAAUCAGCUUUUAUUGCUGGAACUGAUCCAACCUAAAUCUAUAGUUAUAUUCUGUCAUGUUUAUCUAAUAAGAAUGAAAGGAACAUAGGUAGGACAGUGAUGAGAUCUUACCAUUAGGACAGGAUCAUCUCAAUUGUUUCUUCAGUGAUGUCUGUCUUUACAAUGAAUGACCAUUGGAUCCAGAGUGAUCUCAAUUUAUGUCCAAGUCCUAUAAGUGUUUAGUUUAGGGAGUCCAUCUAAGACAUGAAGAAGGCAAACACUUUAGGCAGAAUCAGUGACACCAGAGAGUUAGCAUGCAAGCAAUAUGCACAGGUAACUCUGAUGCUAGGCUAGAAAUCAUGUGAAAGACCUAUAGACUCAGAAAUUCUUGGAAAACUUACUUCUACACGCAGAGGGAGGCAAUGGGUUAGGUCUCAGUGUCUAAUUUACACAAGACCUUUUCCACCAUACUUCUCCCCUUGUUUUAAACAACAAUCAUUAACGUUUAUUGAUUGCUUGCUAUGCGAGGAA
RNAcentral lists this long non-coding RNA (3588 nucleotides) under Sus scrofa (pig). RNAcentral describes it as "lncRNA (ENSSSCG00000052343.1)". Lineage: Eukaryota; Metazoa; Chordata; Mammalia; Artiodactyla; Suidae. The record is from RNAcentral.